Lycium ferocissimum is the source of this 219-nucleotide small nucleolar RNA. RefSeq annotates it as small nucleolar RNA U3. The transcript has a single exon. NCBI's taxonomy places the organism in Eukaryota, Viridiplantae, Streptophyta, Magnoliopsida, Solanales, Solanaceae. The record is from RefSeq and is a predicted model, not a curated record.
ACGACCUUACUUGAACAGGAUCUAUUCUGUAGGCUCGUACCAGUGUAUCCUUGACUUCUAAAGAGACAGGAAACGAAGUCUGGUGGAUGAACUUGUGGCCAUGAGACUAGAGCGUGAUUAACAGCUUUCAUCGUCCCUACAAGCUAAGGGGAGCUUUAGAGGAUCGUUCUCAGCCUGGUCCACCGAGCUUGAGAUGGUUUUGUGGCUGUCUGACAGACU